AGCGAACGUUUGCGGCGGGCUUAACACAUGCAAGUCGAACGAGAAUCAUUCCUUCGGGGAUGAGGAAAGUGGCGCACGGGUGCGUAACACGUGGGUAAUCAACCCUCUAGAUCGGAACAACCCGGGGAAACUCGGGCUAAUACCGGAUGUGGCGGCAGAGUCUUCGGGCUUUGUCGUGAAAGGAGCAAUCCGCUAGAGGACGAGCCCGCGGCCCAUCAGGUAGUUGGAGGGGUAAUGGCCCACCAAGCCGAAGACGGGUAGCUGUUCUGAGAGGAUGAUCAGCCACACUGGAACUGAGACACGGUCCAGACUCCUACGGGAGGCAGCAGUGGGGAAUAUUGCGCAAUGGGCGAAAGCCUGACGCAGCCACGCCGCGUGAGCGAUGAAGGCCCUAGGGUCGUAAAGCUCUGUGGAGGGAGAAGAAACCUGACGGUAUCCCUUUAGCAAGCACCGGCUAACUCCGUGCCAGCAGCCGCGGUAAUGUCGAGCGUACG
This 494-nucleotide ribosomal RNA is filed under the name uncultured bacterium. Its description in RNAcentral is "bacterial SSU rRNA". It matches the Rfam family "Bacterial small subunit ribosomal RNA", at positions 29 to 536 of the family's 1533-position model. The record is from RNAcentral.